GGGAUUUUAUUGGGGNCGGGGGGAANGCGAAUAANCUUACCANCGUUUGACAUCCCGAUCGCGGAUUACAGAGAUGUUUUCCUUCNGUUUGNCUGGAUCGGUGACAGGUGCUGCAUGGCUGUCGUCAGCUCGUGUCGUGAGAUGUUCGGUUAAGUNCGGCAACGAGCGCAACCCACACCCUCAGUUGCCANCAGGUCAUGCUGGGCACUCUGGGGGAACUGCCCGUGAUAAGCGGGAGGAAGGUGUGGAUGACNUCAAGUCCUCAUGGNCCUUACNGNCUGGGCUACACACGUGCUACAAUGGUGGUGACANAGGGUUCAUCCCUAAAAGCCAUCUCANUUCGGAUUGCACUCUGCAACUCGAGUGCAUGAAGGCGGAAUCNCUANUAAUCGUGGAUCAGAACNCCNCGGUGAAUACGUUCCCGGGNCUUGUACACACCNAAUCACUAGUGAAUUC
Molecule: ribosomal RNA, 456 nt
Filed under: uncultured soil bacterium
Lineage: Bacteria
Description: partial small subunit ribosomal RNA
Rfam family: Bacterial small subunit ribosomal RNA
Source: RNAcentral